CGGGUCGUGGCGCAGCUUGGUCAGCGCGCUCGCUUUGGGAGCGAGAUGUCGCGGGUUCGAAUCCCGCCGACCCGACGA
Molecule: transfer RNA, 78 nt
Filed under: Actinoplanes utahensis
Lineage: Bacteria; Bacillati; Actinomycetota; Actinomycetes; Micromonosporales; Micromonosporaceae
Description: tRNA-Pro
Rfam family: tRNA
About the family: Transfer RNA (tRNA) molecules are approximately 80 nucleotides in length.
Source: RNAcentral